RNAcentral lists this unclassified non-coding RNA (294 nucleotides) under Hevea brasiliensis (rubber tree). Lineage: Eukaryota; Viridiplantae; Streptophyta; Magnoliopsida; Malpighiales; Euphorbiaceae. The record is from RNAcentral.
GCCCUUGCACAGAUAGAUCGCAGCCGCAUGACAUUGCUGAGCAAACUCAAGGAGUACAAAGGUGAAGAUUUGGAAGUAAUCAAGGAGGCAUCAUUGUUCGCCAGUGAAUCCAUCGAGCACACUGAAGACCUCCUGCUACCCCCCUACCCAAGUCACCUUCCCGACUUGUAUGCUUUGGACGACCUUUUUCCUUCUGCACGCAUCAGUUCCAAAACCAAAUAUUCUCGAAAUAAGCUGAUCGGUGGUGCUGUCGACAAGACGGAUAACAAUAAGCCUAUCAAGGCUAACUCGCGG